UUCGGAUUGUAGUCUGCAACCCGACUACAUGAAGCUGGAAUCGCUAGUAAUCGCGGAUCAGAAUGCCGCGGUGAAUACGUUCCCGGGUCUUGUACACACCGCCCGUCACACCAUGGGAGUCGGAAAUGCCCGAAGUCUGUGACCCAACCUGAGAGGGAGGGAGCAGCCGAAGGCAGGUCUGAUGACUGGGGUGAAGUCGUAACAAGGUAGC
Molecule: ribosomal RNA, 211 nt
Filed under: uncultured bacterium
Lineage: Bacteria
Description: partial 16S ribosomal RNA
Rfam family: Bacterial small subunit ribosomal RNA
Source: RNAcentral